CCAGUGCAUAUCCAUUGAGUUAUUCCGCAUAUUACGCGCAUAAAAGUCGGUAGCAGAAGUUUCGAGCAUGCCGAUGUCCACAGUUCGACUGCUCCAACCUCGGCGAUUCUCUACCCAAGCUCGAAUGAGGAGCGUGGAGGGGAGGUCGAUCGCCUUCGCCUUUACGAUCGAGAUGGUCAUCUUGGAAUGACCCGUGACGUCACGGACUUCGCAAACAAUUUCAAUUAAAUCUCUCCCAAUCAAUAUUGCUCGGGGUCUUUUAAGUUAGCCACAAAGUUACUUCCCAACCAGC
Molecule: long non-coding RNA, 292 nt
Organism: Ixodes scapularis (black-legged tick)
Lineage: Eukaryota; Metazoa; Arthropoda; Arachnida; Ixodida; Ixodidae
Exons: 3
Source: RefSeq, a predicted model, not a curated record